UGAUGCAACCACCUCCCCCACCCAAUGCACCUCCACCACCACCUCCAUCAAGUUGAAGAUUAGAGCAGUUAUUCCUUAUGCUGUCCAUAACACCAGCUGUUAUCUUAGGUGUUUCUUGUAUCAUCUGUUGCUUCAAUUUGGACAAUAAUAUGCUAUAAUCAUCCUUGAAUGAGCUGAUAUGACGGAAUGUUUUGAUUUUUGAGACGGAACUUUACAUGCUUCAACUUCAUAUUAUUUAAGUUGUAUCUAGAUGUUUUAUUUAUUUAGUUAUUUAUUUAGUUUUUGACUACCUUAUAUAUUGAUUUACCAAGUAAG
Molecule: unclassified non-coding RNA, 315 nt
Filed under: Hevea brasiliensis (rubber tree)
Lineage: Eukaryota; Viridiplantae; Streptophyta; Magnoliopsida; Malpighiales; Euphorbiaceae
Source: RNAcentral